Long non-coding RNA from Cebus imitator (Panamanian white-faced capuchin), 197 nucleotides. RefSeq lists it as uncharacterized. The record is from RefSeq and is a predicted model, not a curated record. The transcript has 3 exons. Lineage: Eukaryota; Metazoa; Chordata; Mammalia; Primates; Cebidae.
AGACCUCAGGCCCCCAGUGCUCCCUCUUGUUUCUCCCCUCAUGUAACCACAGGACCCUCACACUGCUGCAGAGAGGCCAGAAUGCACACAGGAGGAGCUGCGUCACAGGAGCAGGCUGCAGGCUCUGGAGAGGGAGAACCACCAGCUGGCUGCUGGGAUCCAGAGGUGGAAGGGCAGAUCCCAGCAGAGACCCCAGG